RNAcentral lists this transfer RNA (66 nucleotides) under Triraphis sp. QL-2013. RNAcentral describes it as "tRNA-Asn". Lineage: Eukaryota; Metazoa; Arthropoda; Insecta; Hymenoptera; Braconidae. The record is from RNAcentral.
UUAAUUGAAACCAAAUUAGAGGUAAAUUAUUGUUAAUAAUUUAAUUGAAUAUAAAUUCCAAUUAAA